GUAUAAGUGGGUGAAUGUGUGCUAAUUUUCAGCUAAAUCCUUACAGCCAUAGAAUUUUUCCAGUAUGACUCAAAGAAAAUAUACAACCAACUAUUUCAAUUCUACGUGGGUGUUUAGAAACUGGGGAGAAGGAUGAGAAGAGUAUCUACUUUUUCUCCUUAUUGCCUGGAAUAUCACAGAACCUCUGUCAAAGUCAUCCAGUGCUAUAAUAUCAGAAGCUAUGAUAACCUGAUGGAAUGAAGUAGUGAUGUUACACUGGAUAGAAGAACAUUUCAGUCCUGAUAUUUGCUGUAACUAAUAACUACUGGAUAAACAAAGAAGGCACAUGGAGGAUCUUUUACCUGGGUCCAACAAAACAACAGCAGCAAGUUGAAAAAAGCAAAAAAAAAAAAAAAAAAAAGAGAGAGACCAAGGUGCAAUUACAAUCCUAUCCCACAAAGAGGUCAAAGGCUACCCAAAAGACCAGUCGGCCGCAGGAUCCUCAAAUCAUCUAAGCCAUUCGUAUACUCUCAGGUAUGUUACAGAUGGUCUCCAAUUUUAUUUGUAUCUGAAUUUGUGGAGAGGAUGCAGGGAAAAUCAUGUUUGUUGGCUUACCUAUCCCGACACAGACAUCAGGUUACUACUAAAACACACGAUUCUACAGUUGUACUACCAGUAACAGUUCAAAAAGUACUUUCCUCAUAUGUUAUCUACAUUUGAUGCUAAAUGUACUUGUGAGUUAUGUAAUAAUGUCCUCUUGCAUAUAUAAUGUUUAUCAAUAAACCAACAUCAUGAAUCUGCCCAAUAAAAUCAGGUUUAAACAUGGGUUUCCAGUUCCAGAUUUUUCCUCCAGGCCUUGCUUCUUCCAAAUCUUUCCUUUUGUAGUAGAUUUACACGUUUCAUCAAAAUAAGUCUAGUUGACAUGUUUAAGGUAAUUCUUUAACUUUCCAACCAUAUUCUUCUUUAUUGCUUAUCAUUUUACCUGCUGGUUGUCAUUUGAAAUUCUGUCCUUUCCCUGGAAUCUGAAGUAAGUUGGUAAAGACUCAGAAUUCCUAAUGUUGCAAUGCAUUAUUUACUUUUGUAGUACAUUUACACAUUCCAUCAAGAUGAGUCUAUUUGACAUAUUUAAGGUAAUUUGUUAACUUUCCAACCAUGUUCUUCUUCAUUGCUUAUCAUUUUACCUGCUGGUUGUCAUUUGCAAUCCUCUCGUUGCCCUGGAAUCUGAAGUAAGUUCGUAAAGAUGUAGAACUCCCAAUGUUGCAAUGCAUCAUUUCUAGGAUUUAACUGACUUCCCUGACAUCAAAUUGUGUCUUGUAAAGGCCACAGUUUGUCUCUCUGAUAUAAAGUAAAUGUAAUGCAUGUUGGGUCAAGACUGUCAUUUUGGCCAAUAAAUGACCUGAAGUACCUGCCUAGGGCUGGCUGGCAUGUACAGAAUGCAUUCAAACAAGUUAUUCUUACGGUUAUUCAACAGCUUCUGUUUUUUUUCUGACUCCCUUCACAGAUU
Molecule: long non-coding RNA, 1483 nt
Organism: Macaca fascicularis (crab-eating macaque)
Lineage: Eukaryota; Metazoa; Chordata; Mammalia; Primates; Cercopithecidae
Source: Ensembl